Molecule: long non-coding RNA, 600 nt
Organism: Alnus glutinosa
Lineage: Eukaryota; Viridiplantae; Streptophyta; Magnoliopsida; Fagales; Betulaceae
Exons: 2
Source: RefSeq, a predicted model, not a curated record
UGUGAAAAAUGAAACAUUCUUGUUUCUUAAAUAAAACAAAAAAAAAAAGCCCAUCAGCCCGAACGUAUUAAUUCCACGGCACCUUCCUACUAUAAAGAGUUAAAUACAUACACACCAACCAGCGCCCCAACCAACCCUCUGGCUGGCGCUGGCGGAGCUGGAGAUUGAGAUGAGGGAGGGGAAGACGACGACUAGAAUCUAGAUGCAAUAGACCACGCCGGUGGUCAACCGCCCCCAUCCGCUGGCUGGACAGACCUUCUAUCAAGUCCAAGCAGGCAGCUUGGGGUAGCUCUGUUAGGCAGAUCUGUGCCUUCGGAAGACUUCUGGAGCACGAGGCCAAUAAUAGGAACAAGAAGACCCAAUUAAGAUGUCGAAUUCUUUUUGAGCCCACAUAUUGUCUUCAAAAUCAACUGUUUUUGUCAUCUGCAGAGAGGUGCACAACAUCAGAUACCAAAUUCAACCCAAUGUAAAAAUUUAUAUUUGAUAUGCUAAAAAUGUGAACAAGUAUUAGAUAGAAGAAGGUAACCUUUUGCAGUGAAGCUCGAAAGGCUUCUUUUUCUAUUUCUCGUCGAUGCUUCAAUUUAGCUUCGACCUCAUCAA